GAUGAAGAACGUAGUGAAAUGCGAUAAGUAAUGUGAAUUGCAGAAUUCAGUGAAUCAUCGAAUCUUUGAACGCACAUUGCGCCCGCCAGUAUUCUGGCGGGCAUGCCUGUCCGAGCGUCAUUUCAACCCUCGAACACCUCCGGGGGGUCGGCGUUGGGGAUCGGCCCUUUACGGGGCCGGCCCCGAAAUACAGUGGCGGUCUCGCCGCAGCCUCUCCUGCGCAGUAGUUUGCACACUCGCAUCGGGAGCGCGGCGCGUCCACAGCCGUUAAACACCCCAAACUUCUGAAAUGUUGACCUCGGAUCAGGUAGGAAUACCCGCUGAACUUAAGCAUAUCAAUAAGCGGAGGA
RNAcentral lists this unclassified non-coding RNA (350 nucleotides) under soil metagenome. RNAcentral's name for it is "partial contains 5.8S ribosomal RNA, internal transcribed spacer 2, and large subunit ribosomal RNA". The stretch from base 1 to 120 matches the Rfam family "5.8S ribosomal RNA", at positions 35 to 154 of the family's 154-position model. The record is from RNAcentral.